ACUGAAAGCGUGUGGACCUGAGAAGUAAACGUCCACGAACAUCCACUGACAAAUGACGUGGUGCUGGCAAACAUAGUCCCUUAUGUAUAGAGGUUUUUGGGAAACCCUGUACAUACAAGAAUCUACAGCAGGGGUAUCCAAAGUCUGGCCCAGGGCCAAAUGUGGGCCACAGUUUCUCUAUUAAACCCAAUUUCUAUCCUGGUGAAGCCCUUUAGAAAAGUAUGUCACCAGAGCACAAACUAAAGCAGAGAGACUCAAUCGUGACUCAAAGUUUGAGCAGGUAAAAAUGGAAAAUGGCCACUCCAGGGGGUCUGGCUUUGUGCACUCCUCAUCUUCCCAGGAAGUCAGGAAGGCCAAGAAUGAGAUGAAUGGCAGGAUUUGUGGCAGGAAUCCAGUGUGUGUUGGUGUGACUCAGUGCAAAGAGGAACGCCCGGCUUGCCUUGCCGAUCAGAACAUGCAGAGGACGGCGAGCAUGCAGGUUAACACCAUAUACAACUUCUACCAACCUGUACCAGUUAAAGGGGUCCCUAGCUGCAGAAAGUUUGAGCAGCCCCUUUAGAUACCCCAAGUUACCACAAGAGGCUAUACUGCUAGGUGGAUAGAAUAACUAACUGCCCCUGUGAUUCUGCUCUGAAACAAGGAAUGAAAUAACAUGUUUAACGUGUGUGUGUGUGUGUGUGUGUGUGUGUGUGUGUGUGUGUGUGUGUGUGUGUUGUGUUACAGACUCAGAACCUGAAUCUGCACAAUGUGAGUUAUAGCUGUCUGGUUGUAUAUCAGUGUUACAUUUGUUACACAGUGUGUGUGUGUUCCAGUCUCUCCAUAGCUGUGUCACAUACUACUGUACUAUUGCAUACUAUUGUACUAAAUAGUGACUUAGCUUGCUAGAUCAGGGUUUAGCAGCCAGGUCACUUUGACUGAACCACCCCUUGAGGCUACUGAAUGCUAGAGUACAUAAUGUUUUUCAAAACAGACAGGGUAUUUAUCUGGGUAAAUACCCUUAAGCAAUCAGUGUUAGUUUCCAAUGUGCUGUUUAUCUGACUGUUUCCAGUUGAUGCUACUGUACUAAAUAUCAUGUAAACAGGGAGUUUGGCACCUACUUGUAAGCUAUGGCACUAUAUUAUAUAGAAUGGUUGGACACGGUUUGAGACGCAGCUACAGAUAUGGCUUUUAUGUAACAGUUGAACAUUUGAGCCAGUUACAGUAGAUAACAGUUUUUUUGAUUAGUUUUCACCACAAAUGUACUUGCAUAGCAGGAUAUGGUUUAGGACAAAGCCUGUAACUAUGUCUUUGUUUGGUGCUUUUUUCUUUAAGCAGAUGUCCAGAGUAUGCCCGAUCUGGUUGAACCUGCACUGCGUCAGCAGACCACUGGCACCAUCACACCAUCAAGCAGUCAGGUGCCGUGUGUGACUGUAGAGUGUACAAGUGUAACUACAGCAACAUCUGUAGAUACUGUUCUAGUGGCAGACUCCGUGUUGGCUGUAGAAAAGUAUUUAGUAGUAGACAGUGUCCCAGCUGAACAUACAGUUCCAUCAGUAGAAGGUGUCCCAGAUGUCGACACUGUUCCAGCUGUAGAUAGUGUCCCAGUUCUAGUUACAGUUGCAGAUGAGCUUUCAGCUCAAGCUCUAGAUGCAGAUGUUACAUGUCUACCUUCUACAUCUAUGGUAUCUGAAAGUGAUUUGCAGCAGGACAAGGACACAACGGUAAGAGCAAAACACACACAUACACAAUAUUCUGCAUGCUUAAUAUUACAAUAUAUCAUAUAAGUGAGUAAUGAUAGUGGUCUAGUUGUGUGAUUAUAAUUUUGAUGAUAGUAAUAAUAACAAUAAUAGUAAUAAUAAUAGUAAUAAUAAUCUCCAAUGUUCUUAGGAUGUAUCAAUGUGUCCAGCAGCUGAAAAGUGUCUGACCAUUUACAUGUUGUAGUCCGCUCCGGUAGAUGACCAGAUCCAGAUGGCGCAUG
Long non-coding RNA from Ictalurus punctatus (channel catfish), 1957 nucleotides. The record is from Ensembl. NCBI's taxonomy places the organism in Eukaryota, Metazoa, Chordata, Actinopteri, Siluriformes, Ictaluridae.